RNAcentral lists this ribosomal RNA (255 nucleotides) under uncultured bacterium. RNAcentral's name for it is "partial 16S ribosomal RNA". It matches the Rfam family "Bacterial small subunit ribosomal RNA", at positions 524 to 776 of the family's 1533-position model. The record is from RNAcentral.
UACAGAGGGUGCGAGCGUUGUUCGGAAUUACUGGGCGUAAAGCGCGCGCAGGCGGCUCUUUAAGUCUACCCGUGAAAUGCCGGAGCUCAACUCCGUGCACGCCGGGGGAUACUGGAGAGCUGGAGACGAGUAGAGGCAAGCGGAAUUCCGGGUGUAGCGGUGGAAUGCGUAGAGAUCCGGAAGAACACCGGAGGCGAAGGCGGCUUGCUGGGCUUGGUCUGACGCUGAGGCGCGAAAGCGUGGGGAGCGAACAGG